UGCAACUAUUUGCAUCGCCUGAUG
This 24-nucleotide non-coding RNA is filed under the name Arabidopsis thaliana (thale cress). The record is from RNAcentral. Lineage: Eukaryota; Viridiplantae; Streptophyta; Magnoliopsida; Brassicales; Brassicaceae.